GAUGAAGAACGUAGUGAAAUGCGAUAAGUAAUGUGAAUUGCAGAAUUCAGUGAAUCAUCGAAUCUUUGAACGCACAUUGCGCCCGCCAGUAUUCUGGCGGGCAUGCCUGUCCGAGCGUCAUUUCAACCCUCAGGCCCUGGUUGCCUGGUGUUGGGGCGCCGCGCACCCUCUGCGGGCGCGGGCCCCGAAAGUCAGUGGCGGGCUCGCCAGGACUCCGAGCGCAGUAAUUUUCUCUCGCUGUGGAGCGCCUGGUGGGUUACCAGCCGUAAAACACCCCAAAUUCUAAAGGUUGACCUCGGAUCAGGUAGGAAUACCCGCUGAACUUAAGCAUAUCAAUAAGCGGAGGA
Molecule: unclassified non-coding RNA, 347 nt
Filed under: soil metagenome
Description: partial contains 5.8S ribosomal RNA, internal transcribed spacer 2, and large subunit ribosomal RNA
Rfam family: 5.8S ribosomal RNA (bases 1-120)
Source: RNAcentral